Molecule: long non-coding RNA, 805 nt
Filed under: Musa acuminata (dwarf banana)
Lineage: Eukaryota; Viridiplantae; Streptophyta; Magnoliopsida; Zingiberales; Musaceae
Description: long non-coding RNA (MACU_LNC002097)
Source: RNAcentral
AAUUCAAUAAAUCUGCAUUCCAUAUAAUGAUUCAAAAUUAAAAAAAAUUACCGAAGUCUUCAUCAUUCGAUAACUCAAUAAUAAGAUAUUUCUCUUGAUGCCUCGUCCUCACUUUUCUCAUGGCUGUACUAGAACUACUACUGUUGCUUGGGACCAUUGUAACACUUUGAACCUUAAUUCUCGUCAGUGUUAUAUUCAAUAAGGUCUAAGAACUUGUCGACCUUGAUUGAGAGUAAGAGCACCACAGUGUUUUGGUUGUUGCCCUUCAAAGAAUUGAGUGGAAGCCUCCUCUUAUUUGUUGUCCUCGUGCUUUGAUUCGUUGAGGCCCAUUGGAUGCUGAUGUGGUAUGAAUGGGUGAGGCUAGGGUAGACGAUGAGGCCGCCACUGGCCAGGGCGAGGAUGAUAGGACAAUGGGCGAGCAAGUUGGAAAGAGGGGCGAUGAUAGGUCCUCAAGAAAGCAAAGGGAAUGAAGAAAGACGCCCUAGCUAUUGCCCUUCACAGGUUCAAGAGGUAGCCUCCUCCUCUUCAUCGUCCUCACGCUUCGAUUCGUCGAGGCCCACCGGGACAUUGAUGUGGUAGGGGAUGGUGAGGGUAGGGUAGAUGACGAAGUCGUCGUUGGCUAAGGUGAAGCUAAUGGGGUGACAGGCGAGGAAAUAAGGGAGAUGAUUGGUCCUCAAGAAAGUGGAGGGGAGGAGGAAAGUGACACUUUGAGACGGUGCCCUGGUCGUUGUCCUUCAUAGGUUCAAGAGGCAACCUCGUCAUAUAGAAAUAGGGGUAAUUAUUGGUCCUUAAGAAUGUAGAGGGG